This 302-nucleotide small RNA is filed under the name Arthrobacter globiformis NBRC 12137. Its description in RNAcentral is "5' ureB small RNA". It matches the Rfam family "5' ureB small RNA". Lineage: Bacteria; Bacillati; Actinomycetota; Actinomycetes; Micrococcales; Micrococcaceae. The record is from Rfam by way of RNAcentral.
CGGUGGGCACCUGGUCCGGGGAGAUGAAGUGGAUGUGCGUGUCCACGCCCCCGGCGGUGAGGAUCUUCCGCUCCCCCGCAAUGAUCUCUGUACUCGCGCCGAUGACGAUGUCCACGCCGUCGGCAAUCUGCGGGUUUCCGGCCUUGCCGAUCCGGAAGAUGUGGCCGUCCUUCAGUGCGACGUCGGCCUUGUAGAUCCCGGUGUAGUCCAGCACCACCACAUUGGUGAUGACGGUGUCCGGCACACCGCCAUCAGGACCGCCGUCCCGGGUGGCCUGGCCGUUCUGGCCCAUGCCGUCCCGG